This 467-nucleotide ribosomal RNA is filed under the name uncultured bacterium. RNAcentral describes it as "partial 16S ribosomal RNA". It matches the Rfam family "Bacterial small subunit ribosomal RNA", at positions 28 to 507 of the family's 1533-position model. The record is from RNAcentral.
GACGAACGCUGGCGGCGUGCUUAACACAUGCCAGUCGAACGGAAAGGCCCUGCUUUUGUGGGGUGCUCGAGUGGCGAACGGGUGAGUAACACGUGAGUAACCUGCCCUUGACUUUGGGAUAACUUCAGGAAACUGGGGCUAAUACCGGAUAGGAGCUCCUGCUGCAUGGUGGGGGUUGGAAAGUUUCGGCGGUUGGGGAUGGACUCGCGGCUUAUCAGCUUGUUGGUGGGGUAGUGGCUUACCAAGGCUUUGACGGGUAGCCGGCCUGAGAGGGUGACCGGCCACAUUGGGACUGAGAUACGGCCCAGACUCCUACGGGAGGCAGCAGUGGGGAAUAUUGCACAAUGGGCGGAAGCCUGAGGCAGCAACGCCGCGUGCGGAUGACGGCCUUCGGGUUGUAAACCGCUUUCGCCUGUGACGAAGCGUGAGUGACGGUAAUGGGUAAAGAAGCACCGGCUAACUACGUG